Clostridium sp. DMHC 10 is the source of this 83-nucleotide non-coding RNA. The record is from Rfam. NCBI's taxonomy places the organism in Bacteria, Bacillati, Bacillota, Clostridia, Eubacteriales, Clostridiaceae.
UGGGAAGUAUCCAAACGGAACUUCACCUUAGAAUUUUUUUAAUUGUAUUUUAUAUUUUUCUUGGAUCUUUUAAAUGAGAUAGG